Molecule: long non-coding RNA, 474 nt
Organism: Chanos chanos (milkfish)
Lineage: Eukaryota; Metazoa; Chordata; Actinopteri; Gonorynchiformes; Chanidae
Exons: 4
Source: RefSeq, a predicted model, not a curated record
GGUCAGCAAAAAAGUUCCUCUGCCGAAAACACAGACGAAACCGCCGAAGACUCUUCCCCCUGGUGUUUUUAGUCCUUUAAAUGACCAAAACCUGACAAUACCGCAACACUGGUUUCCAAACAAGACCCCUGAAGAAAUCAGAGAAAUAUUGCUGAAAAGCAAAACUUCGUAGUCAUCGAACACGAAAGACCAAAAGAUUCAACACGUGACUAAGGAUCAGUGAAACAGAAGAUUCAACAUCUGCACUGUCCACAAAUCAGUAUUACUCUAAACUGCUCUCAACUGAAAUGAAUUAAAAGUUAAGAUAUAAGCCAAUGACAGCUGUUAUUUUUAUAGAUGUUUUUUUGAUUGGACGUAAAGAUUAAUGACCAGUAGUCAGUGUCUGAUGGAUCAAUUAGUUUGUUAACUUUGGGACCAGUCAUAAGCUGUGCGUAUUCUGAAUGUCUCAACCAACAAUACAGUUUUUGAAAACCA